Molecule: ribosomal RNA, 506 nt
Filed under: uncultured Pseudomonadota bacterium
Lineage: Bacteria; Pseudomonadati; Pseudomonadota
Description: bacterial SSU rRNA
Rfam family: Bacterial small subunit ribosomal RNA
Source: RNAcentral
CCGCGUGAGUGAAGAAGGCCUUCGGGUUGUAAAGCUCUUUUGUCAGGGAAGAAACGGUGAGAGCUAAUAUCUUUUGCUAAUGACGGUACCUGAAGAAUAAGCACCGGCUAACUACGUGCCAGCAGCCGCGGUAAUACGUAGGGUGCAAGCGUUAAUCGGAAUUACUGGGCGUAAAGCGUGCGCGGGCGGUUUUGUAAGUCUGAUGUGAAAUCCCCGGGCUCAACCUGGGAAUUGCAUUGGAGACUGCAAGGCUAGAAUCUGGCAGAGGGGGGUAGAAUUCCACGUGUAGCAGUGAAAUGCGUAGAUAUGUGGAGGAACACCGAUGGCGAAGGCAGCCCCCUGGGUCAAGAUUGACGCUCAUGCACGAAAGCGUGGGGAGCAAACAGGAUUAGAUACCCUGGUAGUCCACGCCCUAAACGAUGUCUACUAGUUGUCGGGUCUUAAUUGACUUGGUAACGCAGCUAACGCGUGAAGUAGACCGCCUGGGGAGUACGGUCGCAAGAUUA